Molecule: non-coding RNA, 172 nt
Filed under: human gut metagenome
Description: 6S / SsrS RNA
Rfam family: 6S / SsrS RNA
About the family: E. coli 6S RNA was the first non coding RNA to be sequenced, but its function was unknown until recently. It consists of 184 nucleotides that fold into an extended hairpin structure with a large single-stranded internal bulge.
Source: RNAcentral
UAUCCUGCUGUGUUCGUUAAAUCUAUUUAAUUCAACCGACAUAGAAUAUAAGGGAUUCUUCCCUGACGGCGGAUAAAAAGCCUCCAUAGAGAGGACUUUAGAAACCGUUAUUAAGACACCCACCUUUGUUGAGGCGGGUAUGAAUUAAAUAGGCGACGGCACGGCGGAAUUU